This 71-nucleotide transfer RNA is filed under the name uncultured Mobiluncus sp. It matches the Rfam family "tRNA". From Rfam's summary of the family: Transfer RNA (tRNA) molecules are approximately 80 nucleotides in length. Their secondary structure includes four short double-helical elements and three loops (D, anti-codon, and T loops). Further hydrogen bonds mediate the characteristic L-shaped molecular structure. tRNAs have two regions of fundamental functional importance: the anti-codon, which is responsible for specific mRNA codon recognition, and the 3' end, to which the tRNAs corresponding amino acid is attached (by aminoacyl-tRNA synthetases). tRNAs cope with the degeneracy of the genetic code in two manners: having more than one tRNA (with a specific anti-codon) for a particular amino acid; and 'wobble' base-pairing, i.e. permitting non-standard base-pairing at the 3rd anti-codon position. Lineage: Bacteria; Bacillati; Actinomycetota; Actinomycetes; Actinomycetales; Actinomycetaceae. The record is from RNAcentral.
GCGGGGUAGCUCAGCUGGUCAGAGCGCACGACUCAUAAUCGUGAGGUCGCGGGUUCGAGCCCCGCCCUCGC